CAGCCAACUUUGCGAGAAGAACGAAACAACAAACAAUUUUGGUGGAGGAGUUUCGGAAACUUACACCAUACUUAUCGAGGCAGUGAUGGUGUAACCGAUGGCCGUUCCCAUCAAGUUGCUGUACUGGACAAGCGCGCAGCACCAGAGCUGGAUCUCACCUGGAGGAGCCAACACAACAACAGGCAUUUAAGUCGGGGAGCAUGAACGAGGUACGGUCUUCGAGUAGAAUCUCACCGAGGUUGGCUUUGACGGCGUCCUUGUAUCUGUAGUUUCGCUUGCCGGUGACGGGGUCCGGAGAGCGGUAGCAAUCCGUGAGCAGCAGCGACGUGAAGAAGGUGAUGGCGGCGAAGAUGAGCAGCACAACGGGGCCAGCGAUCCAGCCAAUUUGGGCCA
Molecule: long non-coding RNA, 393 nt
Filed under: Selaginella moellendorffii
Lineage: Eukaryota; Viridiplantae; Streptophyta; Lycopodiopsida; Selaginellales; Selaginellaceae
Description: long non-coding RNA (SMOE_LNC001173)
Source: RNAcentral